GACGAACGCUGGCGGCGUGCCUAAUACAUGCAAGUAGAACGCUGAAGAGAGGAGCUUGCUCUUCUUGGAUGAGUUGCGAACGGGUGAGUAACGCGUAGGUAACCUGCCUUGUAGCGGGGGAUAACUAUUGGAAACGAUAGCUAAUACCGCAUAACAAUGGAUGACCCAUGUCAUUUAUUUGAAAGGGGCAAAUGCUCCACUACAAGAUGGACCUGCGUUGUAUUAGCUAGUAGGUGAGGUAACGGCUCACCUAGGCGACGAUACAUAGCCGACCUGAGAGGGUGAUCGGCCACACUGGGACUGAGACACGGCCCAGACUCCUACGGGAGGCAGCAGUAGGGAAUCUUCGGCAAUGGGGGCAACCCUGACCGAGCAACGCCGCGUGAGUGAAGAAGGUUUUCGGAUCGUAAAGCUCUGUUGUAAGUCAAGAACGAGCGUGAGAGUGGAAAGUUCACACUGUGACGGUAGCUUACCAGAAAGGGACGGCUAACUACGUG
RNAcentral lists this ribosomal RNA (497 nucleotides) under uncultured bacterium. Its description in RNAcentral is "partial 16S ribosomal RNA". It matches the Rfam family "Bacterial small subunit ribosomal RNA", at positions 28 to 507 of the family's 1533-position model. The record is from RNAcentral.